This 403-nucleotide ribosomal RNA is filed under the name uncultured bacterium. RNAcentral describes it as "bacterial SSU rRNA". It matches the Rfam family "Bacterial small subunit ribosomal RNA", at positions 359 to 758 of the family's 1533-position model. The record is from RNAcentral.
CAUUUGGCAAUGGGGGCACCCUGAGCAGCAAUGCCGCGUGAGUGAGGAAGGUCUUCGGAUUGUAAAACUCUUUCCUUAGGGAAAAAUGGAUUACUGGUUAAUACCCAUUAGUAGUGAUGGUACCUAAAGAAUAAGCCCCGGCUAACUUCGUGCCAGCCCCCGCGGUAAUACAAAGGGCGCACGCGUUGUUCGGAAUUAUUGGGCGUAAAGCGCGCGCAGGCGGAUUAAUAAGUCAGGUGUGAAAUCUCGAAGCUCAACUUCAAAACUGCCCCUGAAACUAUUACUCUAGAGUGUCGGAGGGGGUAGGGGAAUUUCACGUGUAGGGGUAAAAUCCGUAGAGAUGUGAAAGAACACCGGAGGCGAAGGCGCCUACCUGGACGACUACUGACUCUGAGGCGCGAAA